AACGCAUAUUGCGCCCCUUAGUAUUCCUUGGGGCACACCUGUUCGAGCGUCAUUUCACCAAUCAAGCCUCGCUUGGUGUUGGGCGAUGCGCACGUCGCACGCCUCAAAUGCCCCGGCCGGGCAGUCUCUCACCCGGCGUCGUGGAAACAUACCGCUACGGAGACGAGACCUGCCCGCGCCGCAGAAUAACCCAUAACAAAGGUUGACCUCGGAUCAGGUGGGGAUACCCGCUGAACUUAA
Molecule: unclassified non-coding RNA, 240 nt
Filed under: uncultured Pyrenochaeta
Lineage: Eukaryota; Fungi; Ascomycota; Dothideomycetes; Pleosporales; Pleosporaceae
Description: partial contains 5.8S ribosomal RNA, internal transcribed spacer 2, and large subunit ribosomal RNA
Source: RNAcentral